GGGCUCUGGGGUCCCAUUGAGAUCCCACUGGUGUCUAUGGGGUCACACUGGGGGGCUAUGGGGUCUGUGGGUCCCACUGAUCCUAUAGGGCUCUAUGGCUCCCAUUGAUUCCUAUGGCUCCCAUUGAUUCCCAUGGGGCUCCCAUUGAUUCCCAUGGGGCUCCCAUUGAUUCCCAUGGGGCUCCCAUUGAUUCCCAUGGGGCUCUAUGGCUCUCAUUGCUCCCUAUGGCUCCCAUUCAUUCCUAUGGCUCCCAUUGAUUCAUAUGGUGCUCUAUGGCUCCCAUUGUUCCCUAUGGGGCUCCCAUUGUUCCCUAUGGGGCUCCCAUUGUUCCCUAUGGGGCUCCCAUUGCUCCCUAUGGCUCCCAUUCAUUCCUAUGGGGCUCUAUAGCUCCCAUUGCUCCCUAUGGCUCUCAUUCAUUCCUACGGGGCUCUAUGGCUCCCAUUGAUUCCUAUGGGGCUCUAUGGCUCCCAUUGUUCCCUAUGGGGCUCCCAUUCAUUCCUAUGGGGCUCCCAUUGCUCCCUAUGGGGCUCCCAUUGAUUCCUAUGGGGCUCCUAUUGCUCCCUAUGGCUCCCAUUGUUCCCUAUGGCUCCCAUUGCUCCCUAUGGGGCUCAAUGGCUCCCAUUGCUCGCUAUGGGGCUCUCACACCACACGACGACGCUGACGGGCGCGGCACGGACGGUUCCCGCCUCGUUGGACGCUGCGCAGCGAUAGGUCCCCGCCCGAGAAGGCUCCGCCUCAAAACUGAGCUCCGGACCAAUGGUGGCUUCCGACGGCUGGUCCAAGCGUUCCCAUUGGAUGGUGGGCGUCGGGUGGGCGGGGCCGACGCGGCAGAACAGGGUGACACGUGACUUCUCCUGAGCCGGAAGUGGCGUCAGCGGCGUCACGGCGACGGAGCGUGGAGGGUCUGCGGGGGGGGAGGGGAGGGGGUUGGGUACCCCAUAAGUGCCCCAUAGCGGCCCCAUAACUGCCCCAUAGGGACCCCAUAAAGACCCCGUAGAGACCCACAAGGACUCAUAGAGACCCAUAGGGACCCAAAGGGACCCCAUAGAGACCCAUAGAGAUCCACAAAGACCCCAUAGAGACCCAUGGAGACCCCAUAGUUCCCCAUAUGGACCCCAUAGAGACCCCAUAAUUCCCCAUAUAGACCCCAUGAAGACCCAUAAAGACCCCAUAGUUCCCUAUAUUGACCCCAUAGAACCCCAUAGAGACCCAUAGAGACCCCAUAAUUCCCCAUAUAGACCCCAUAGAGACCUAUAGAGACCCAUAGAGACCAAUAGGGACCCAUAGGGAUGCAUAGGGACCCACAGAGACCCAUAGGGACCCCAUAGAGACCCAUAGAAACCCAUAGAGCCCCAUAGGAACCCAUAGAGACCCAUAAAGACCCCAUAGUUCCCCAUAUAGACGCCAUAGUUUCCCAUAGAAACCCAUAGAGACCCCAUAAUUCUCCAUAUAGACCCCAUAGUUCCCCAUAGAGACCCAUAGAGACCCACAGAGACCCCAUAGAGACCCCAUAACUCCCCAUAUAGACCCCAUAGUUCCCCAUAGAGACCCCAUACUUCCCCAUAGACACCCCAUAGAGACCCCAUUGAGACCCCAUAGGGACCCCAUAAUUCCCCAUAUAGACCCCAUAUAGACCCACAGCGACCCCAUACUUCCCCAUAGACACCCCAUAGAGACCCCAUAGU
Molecule: long non-coding RNA, 1685 nt
Organism: Phasianus colchicus (ring-necked pheasant)
Lineage: Eukaryota; Metazoa; Chordata; Aves; Galliformes; Phasianidae
Source: Ensembl